GCACUCGAAUUAGGUUCCCGGCGGGAAAUUUUGUGCUUUUCUUUUGCUUCGCUUUCGCGCUUCUGCUUCGCGACUGUGUGAUGGAUAAACGGAGAAACGGCGUCUUGUGAAAUGGAUGGGCUUAAGCUUAACUUACGUUUGGUUUUAAAAAAUUAAAAAAACAUAAGCCCAAAUUUCAGCAACCCAUUAUUUUGAGGACUGAAUUGAAAUUGUACAAAGCCUUCACCAAUGGCAAGUGGGCCUUGUCUAUUCUGUUGUUGUCGUCGAGGACUGAAUACAACUAUUCCCAUCACAUCAAAU
This 300-nucleotide unclassified non-coding RNA is filed under the name Hevea brasiliensis (rubber tree). Lineage: Eukaryota; Viridiplantae; Streptophyta; Magnoliopsida; Malpighiales; Euphorbiaceae. The record is from RNAcentral.